CCUACGGGUGGCAGCAGUGAGGAAUAUUGGUCAAUGGGCGAGAGCCUGAACCAGCCAAGUCGCGUGAGGGAAGACGGUCCUAUGGAUUGUAAACCUCUUUUGCCGGGGAGCAAAAAGCGGUACGUGUACCGCAUCGAGAGUACCCGGAGAAAAAGCAUCGGCUAACUCCGUGCCAGCAGCCGCGGUAAUACGGAGGAUGCGAGCGUUAUCCGGAUUUAUUGGGUUUAAAGGGUGCGCAGGCGGCGAGUUAAGUCAGCGGUAAAAUUUCGGGGCUCAACCCCGACAAGCCGUUGAAACUGGGUGGCUAGAGUGGGCGAGAAGUAUGCGGAAUGCGUGGUGUAGCGGUGAAAUGCAUAGAUAUCACGCAGAACUCCGAUUGCGAAGGCAGCAUACCGGCGCCCAACUGACGCUCAGGCACGAAAGCGUGGGUAUCGAACAGGAUUAGAUACCCGAGUAGUC
Molecule: ribosomal RNA, 459 nt
Filed under: uncultured bacterium
Lineage: Bacteria
Description: partial 16S ribosomal RNA
Rfam family: Bacterial small subunit ribosomal RNA
Source: RNAcentral